This 115-nucleotide ribosomal RNA is filed under the name Bacillus thuringiensis. The record is from RNAcentral. RNAcentral also lists the same sequence under 2 other names. Lineage: Bacteria; Bacillati; Bacillota; Bacilli; Caryophanales; Bacillaceae.
UUUGGUGAUGAUGGCAGAGAGGUCACACCCGUUCCCAUACCGAACACGGAAGUUAAGCUCUCUAGCGCCGAUGGUAGUUGGACCUUGUCCCUGUGAGAGUAGGACGUCGCCAAGC